This 678-nucleotide ribosomal RNA is filed under the name Mucor flavus. RNAcentral describes it as "eukaryotic LSU rRNA". It matches the Rfam family "Eukaryotic large subunit ribosomal RNA", at positions 71 to 648 of the family's 3401-position model. The record is from RNAcentral. Lineage: Eukaryota; Fungi; Mucoromycota; Mucoromycetes; Mucorales; Mucoraceae.
AUGAUUUCCCUAGUAACGGCGAGUGAAGAGGAAAGAGCUCAAAGUUGGAGCCUGUUUGGCUUAGCUAAACCGGAUUGUAAACUGUAGAAGUGUUUUCCAGACACGCCUGGUAAAAAAGUCCUUUGGAACAGGGCAUCAUAGAGGGUGAGAAUCCCGUCUUUGGCCAGAGCUGUUGUCUUUUGUGAUACAUUUUCAAAGAGUCAGGUUGUUUGGGAAUGCAGCCUAAAUUGGGUGGUAAAUCUCACCUAAAGCUAAAUAUUUGCGAGAGACCGAUAGCGAACAAGUACCGUGAGGGAAAGAUGAAAAGAACUUUGAAAAGAGAGUUAAACAGUAUGUGAAAUUGUUAAAAGGGAACCGUUUGGAGCCAGACUGGCUUGACUGUAAUCAAUCUAGGCUUCGGCCUGGAUGCACUUGCGGUUUAUGCCUGCCAACGACAAUUUUUUUUGAGGGAAAAAACUAUUAGGAAUGUGGCCCCUCCUCGGGGGGGUGUUAUAGCCUUUUAGAAAAUACCUUGAAUUGGAUUGAGGAACGCAGUGAAUGCCUUUAGGCAAGGUUGCUGGGCGCUUUCGCUAAUAAAUGCUAGAAUUUCUGCUUCGGGUGGUGCUAGUGUUUAAAGGAGAAACUCGUCUGGUAUAUUUUUUAUUCGCUUAGGUUGUUGGCUUAAUGACUCUAAAUGAC